RNAcentral lists this ribosomal RNA (722 nucleotides) under uncultured bacterium. RNAcentral describes it as "bacterial SSU rRNA". It matches the Rfam family "Bacterial small subunit ribosomal RNA", at positions 28 to 763 of the family's 1533-position model. The record is from RNAcentral.
GAUGAACGCUGGCGGCGUGCUUAACACAUGCAAGUCGAACGGUGAAGGAGAGCUUGCUCUCUGGAUCAGCGGCGAACGGGUGAGUAACACGUGAGCAAUCUGCCCCUGACUCUGGGAUAACAGUUGGAAACAGCUGCUAAUACCGGAUACGAGCUUCGAAGGCAUCUUCAGAAGCUGGAAAGAACUUCGGUCAGGGAUGAGCUCGCGGCCUAUCAGCUAGUUGGUGAGGUAAUGGCUCACCAAGGCGUCGACGGGUAGCCGGCCUGAGAGGGUGACCGGCCACACUGGGACUGAGACACGGCCCAGACUCCUACGGGAGGCAGCAGUGGGGAAUAUUGCACAAUGGGCGCAAGCCUGAUGCAGCAACGCCGCGUGAGGGACGACGGCCUUCGGGUUGUAAACCUCCUUUAGCAGGGAAGAAGCGAAAGUGACGGUACCUGCAGAAAAAGCGCCGGCUAACUACGUGCCAGCAGCCGCGGUAAUACGUAGGGCGCAAGCGUUAUCCGGAAUUAUUGGGCGUAAAGAGCUCGUAGGCGGUUUGUCGCGUCUGCUGUGAAAACUGGAGGCUCAACCUCCAGCCUGCAGUGGGUACGGGCAGACUAGAGUGCGGUAGGGGAGAUUGGAAUUCCUGGUGUAGCGGUGGAAUGCGCAGAUAUCAGGAGGAACACCGAUGGCGAAGGCAGAUCUCUGGGCCGUAACUGACGCUGAGGGGCGAAAGGGUG